UAAUAAAGGGGUGGCCUUAGUGCGUGGGUGUUGUUUGAUUUUAGUUGUAGUUAUCCUCUAUGAGAAUAAUGGGUAAAGGUAACAUGAGAAGGUGAGGAAGAUACCACCCAGAAUGGGACGGUGGACUCGGAGGCGGAGUAGCCGAGGAGGUGAGGUCGGAUGCAUCACACUGUCUAGGGGCUCUAGGUGUCAGUUAUUAGUCAUUUCCUAUGAUUGUUAUGGUAGUAUGGGAUGAAGACUACUUGUUAGCUUGCUUCGGUAGGAGGUCACAAAUGUUUCUUUAAAGAUGUGCGUUUUUUUUCCUUUGACGUUUUAUAUGAUUGCAGAAAAAAAAAUAAUCUGGACAAAUGUGUGAUGCAAUGAUGUUUCCUUUAAAUGUGAAGUUUAUGUUUUAGUUCUUAGCAAA
This is a long non-coding RNA of Zingiber officinale, 406 nucleotides long. RefSeq lists it as uncharacterized. The transcript is spliced from 2 exons. NCBI's taxonomy places the organism in Eukaryota, Viridiplantae, Streptophyta, Magnoliopsida, Zingiberales, Zingiberaceae. The record is from RefSeq and is a predicted model, not a curated record.